RNAcentral lists this non-coding RNA (26 nucleotides) under Mus musculus (house mouse). Lineage: Eukaryota; Metazoa; Chordata; Mammalia; Rodentia; Muridae. The record is from RNAcentral.
UGGACCCACGCAGCAGCAGAUAGACA